CUUUGUCCCAGUUUUUUAUUUUGGCCCAGUGGGAAUUUGAGUUCGACACCCCUGGUUAUCUGUUUAUAUGUGAUUGCAGAUCUGAUUGUGUGCACUGAUUUUCAGUUGGGUUCACCUGAAGUCUGCCUGGGCAGUGGAGUCCGCCUGAGCUCAUUACUGAACCGACCAGACGGAGUUUUACAUGAACGGGAGAGAACACGGUUCAGGCUUCACAAUCAGCUCAGCACCUUGGAAAGAAAAUAUGUGGAGUGCACAAGGGAUGACGGAUCACACCUAAAAGGAAAAGAGAAGAAAGUCAUAAAAGUCUCAGAGCUGUGCUGUUGCCUCCAGAGGGAAGAGAGAGGCCACAUAUCGACAGAAACCGCCUUCAUAUCGCUGCCGUGUAGAAGAAUUAUUUAUCUCCUGCUCCGUUCCUGGGAGGAUGCUGUUGACAGCAUCUCAUCUCACUGUCUGAGAACCACUGGCUUCCAUUCGGGCCAGGAACUGCGAUGUGAUGUCUUUGUGAGAGAUUUCAGCACUGUCGCCUCGUUUAAAAGCUCAGAGAGCAGCAAAGUAAAUGCCGAGCCCAAAAGGAAAGGAAACAUUUAUUGUUCAUGAAGGUGGCGCCUCACAGGUCCUGUCAGACAAGAGCAGGGAGGUGAGGUCUUGGUUUGAGGUCUCUUGAAGUGUUCCCACCUCCCUGCAUUCUCCUGCAGGAGCUCUGGAGCUGCCCCCACCCCAUCAGCACAUUCGUGUACAUUGCCAAAUACGAUCUAACAUUCCACAUGACGACUAGGUUUUUACAUUAGUGGUGCCUGCUCCUGUUGUAAAAAUGUACAGAAUUACAUUUUUGUGUCUCAGUGCAAAAGAUUAUCUCAAAAGAGUUUCAGGAAGAGCCGUGCCCUCGGUAAAAGUCCGUCCGUUGAGCAACCGGCCCGCCUACAAGACCCAGAAUAAAUAACCAACAGAAGCAGCUUUACAGUCACCGUCAGAUAGCAGCAGUGUUUCAGCUUGACUUAAAUACAUAUUCACAAACAACACGUGUCAGUAUACACCCACGACUUGUCAGAACUGGAACUAUAGAUAAUAAUUAUACAUACUGAUCAUAAUUACUAUGACCAUUACAGAAAAACUAAUUCUAGAGAGGACUGAAGUAUUUACACAGCUUUCUGUUGUUUCGUGUUGCUCCUUUAAAGUUCUGUGGCUUAAUUUCCCGUGAGUGAACUUCCCAAGUAAAGGAAGGCAAUGGAGUGUCUCUAAAG
Molecule: long non-coding RNA, 1241 nt
Filed under: Nothobranchius furzeri (turquoise killifish)
Lineage: Eukaryota; Metazoa; Chordata; Actinopteri; Cyprinodontiformes; Nothobranchiidae
Description: lncRNA (ENSNFUG00015021540.1)
Source: RNAcentral